Molecule: long non-coding RNA, 1546 nt
Filed under: Lynx pardinus (Iberian lynx)
Lineage: Eukaryota; Metazoa; Chordata; Mammalia; Carnivora; Felidae
Source: RNAcentral
GACCAGGAAUAUUAGGAACAGGUUUCUCUGCGCCGCCCUUAUACGGGUUGAGGAAACCAUGGGUGAUAGACUGUCAGAAGAAAAGGAGAAAGAGAGGGGGCGACUUCGAAAGCCCUCUUGGCGCUGAGAUUUCAGUAGACACCAACACGCCGCCGGGCAUCUUCUGGACACUUAGGAAGUGGGUAUGGGAUUGUAUGGUCUUAAAGGCUUAGCCUCAACCAGAAAGCUACAAGUCAGCGAGAAGCAGGGAGCAGUUUCACCUCCGGGAGCUGCGGUGUUCAUUGAAGCAUCAUUUUAUAAAAGUAGGAGAAAGAGGAGGACGUGGGGGCAGUGAGUCUUGAGGACAGGUUCUGGGACAACCGGCAAAGGAAUAUACCCGCAGCGUCUGGGGGAAGGAGAAGGCUCAGUGUCUGAACCUUUCCACUUGGUCCCUCAGGGCCUCUCCCGGUUCAACGAUCCCUCUAACCUACAGCCACCCGCAAGAACCGCCCUUUCUGCUCGCACCUCUUCGCACGACUCCCGCUCGACCGAGCACGGUGAGGGAACUUCUCUAAGCCCCGCCUCUCCUUGCAACCUGUGUUGGCCUAAACUGCCCGGCAACUGUUUACGUCACACGACCAUGGCCCUCCCAGAAUGGACGAGAUUUACUAGACAACCCCGCCCACUAGGCUGAAAUUACCCUCGGCAGGUGCCACUUCUGAGCCCGGUGAGCUCUGGGGGAAAGGACCCAGGCGGGGCGGGGCAGGUGGUAAACUGAGCUCAGCGCCUGGCGCGCUUGCACUUCCUCUAGUUGCGCUCGCCCUCCAUCUUCCACCUCAGAAAGGCCACCGCUCCGAGCUGCAACUGCUAGUGCUUGGAGGGCGCUGUAUUCCACUCUGACUCAUCCUUGGGGGCGGACGUGGGAGCAUGGGGAAGUGGCGGGGCAACCAUAGGAAACAGAAAACUUAAGGGAGGAUAUGGCAUAUUUAGGACUGUGAAGUGUGCAAAUGCUGGUGAGCCAUUUGGUGCACUGAAAACAGGAGAGACCACAGUUAUAAAACACCACCUUUAUUAUAAAUACCAAGAAUCCAGAGUGUGUUUAUGGGCCAGCAUAUGCCUUUAGUCCUAUUGGAAAGUAUUCUUUCUGUAUGUUCUAAAGUUCUUCUCAUUUUCAGGGUUCUAUCCACAACAAACCUGGCUCUAAACCCAGUUACACUAAGGGGUUAUGAACUCUGUUUUCUUCCAAGAAAUCUGCAUUAUCAAGAGGAGCUUGGAGACGGGGUAACACUCGUGGCAGAAUUUCAGGCAUCCUUCUAGGAUGUCACUCCUCCUAGAAGCAGCUGUCUAUUGUGCAGCUCUGGUAACACCUUUGUUCCCAAAUUCUCCACUACAGAGGGCAGAAAAACAAGGGAGGGAGGUGGCAUGUGCAGGUCUGAGAAGGCUUUCAUUCUGGAGCACCUGACCCGUCAGCAGCCUGCAUCAUGUCCCAGUAGCGUCCGUUCCUCUCCAUGAGCUGCUGGUGGGUUCCUGCUUCACAGAUGGUGCCUCCUUCCAGAAAAAGGAUUUG